UACAGGGGGGGCAAGCGUUGUUCGGAAUUACUGGGCGUAAAGGGCCAGUAGGCGGCCAACUAAGUCACACGUGAAAUCCCCAGGCUUAACCUGGGAACUGCGUGUGAUACUGGAUGGCUUGAAUUCGGGAGAGGGAUGCAGAAUUCCAGGUGUAGCGGUGAAAUGCGCAGAUAUCAGGAAGAACACCCGUGGCGAAGGCGGCUCUCUGGAACGCAACUGACGCUGAGACGCGAAAGCGUGGGGAGCAAACAGG
This 253-nucleotide ribosomal RNA is filed under the name uncultured bacterium. RNAcentral's name for it is "partial 16S ribosomal RNA". It matches the Rfam family "Bacterial small subunit ribosomal RNA", at positions 524 to 776 of the family's 1533-position model. The record is from RNAcentral.